Molecule: ribosomal RNA, 498 nt
Filed under: uncultured bacterium
Lineage: Bacteria
Description: bacterial SSU rRNA
Rfam family: Bacterial small subunit ribosomal RNA
Source: RNAcentral
AGAGUUUGAUCCUGGCUCAGAAUCAACGCUGGCGGCAUGCCUAACACAUGCAAGUCGAACGAGAAAGUCCUUCGGGAUGAGUAGAGUGGCGUACGGGUGAGUAACGCGUGGGUUAUCUACCUCUGGGUAGGGAAUAACUCGGGGAAACUCGCAGCUAAUACCGUAUAAUACGUUUACGUUAAAGCAGCAAUGCGCCUGGAGCAUGAGCCUGCGUCCGAUUAGCUAGUUGGCGGGGUAAUGGCCCACCAAGGCGACGAUCGGUAGCCGGCCUGAGAGGGCGGUCGGCCACACUGGCACUGAAAUACGGGCCAGACUCCUACGGGAGGCAGCAGUGAGGAAUUUUGGGCAAUGGGCGAAAGCCUGACCCAGCAAUGCCGCGUGAACGAUGAAGUCCUUCGGGAUGUAAAGUUCGUAAGCAGGANAAGAACACCCUGACGGUAUCCUGUGUAAGCCCCGGCUAACUACGUGCCAGCAGCCGCUGGUAAUACGUAUGGGGCA